UUUAUAGAAAAUAAACCGCUUACAAAAAACGCAUAAAGGGGAUGCUCUCAUGGGUACAAUCAUUUGCCAAAACUGCAACAAGACGAUCGAACAUUUUGAAGGUGAAAAGGUUACAAAACUUUAUGCUCAAGGACAUAACUGUAUUGAUUGCAAAUCAGCUAAGAAGCAAAAAUAAUUAUAAAAGAAGCAUGCCCCUCAUAACGGGGGCAUGCUUCUUU
Molecule: small RNA, 218 nt
Filed under: Alkalihalophilus pseudofirmus OF4
Lineage: Bacteria; Bacillati; Bacillota; Bacilli; Caryophanales; Bacillaceae
Description: Bacillus pseudofirmus OF4 SR1 sRNA
Rfam family: SR1 sRNA
Source: Rfam by way of RNAcentral